RNAcentral lists this ribosomal RNA (574 nucleotides) under Peptoniphilus sp. oral taxon 386. Its description in RNAcentral is "bacterial SSU rRNA". It matches the Rfam family "Bacterial small subunit ribosomal RNA", at positions 366 to 964 of the family's 1533-position model. Lineage: Bacteria; Bacillati; Bacillota; Tissierellia; Tissierellales; Peptoniphilaceae. The record is from RNAcentral.
GCACAAUGGGGGGAACCCUGAUGCAGCGACGCCGCGUGAGCGAAGAAGGUUUACGAAUCGUAAAGCUCUGUGCUAUGGGAAGAUAAUGACGGUACCAUAGGAGGAAGCCCCGGCUAACUACGUGCCAGCAGCCGCGGUAAUACGUAGGGGGCUAGCGUUGUCCGGAAUCACUGGGCGUAAAGGGUUCGCAGGCGGAAAAGCAAGUCAGGUGUGAAAGGCGAGGGCUUAACCCUCGUAAGCAUUUGAAACUGUUUUUCUUGAGAUGUGGAGAGGUAAGUGGAAUUCCUAGUGUAGCGGUGAAAUGCGUAGAUAUUAGGAGGAAUACCGGUGGCGAAGGCGACUUACUGGACACAAACUGACGCUGAGGAACGAAAGCGUGGGGAACAAACAGGAUUAGAUACCCUGGUAGUCCACGCUGUAAACGAUGAGUGCUAGGUGUCGGAGUAAUCUCGGUGCCGCAGUAAACACAAUAAGCACUCCGCCUGGGGAGUACGUACGCAAGUAUGAAACUCAAAGGAAUUGACGGGGACCCGCACAAGCAGUGGAGCAUGUGGUUUAAUUCGAAGCAACGCGA